UGGGCGUUAAACUGAUAGCGUACGCUGUUCUGAGUGGUGCUAAGAGAUGCAAUGACGUCACUGUCCACUACAGUAGCGUCAGGGAUCAGUGAAUGACGCCUGGUGUUGAGAACAUACCAGCAACCGGAAGGAGAGUCUGCGAUUGCCUCGCACGUGAGCGCGUGCGCCAGCCAUUGGGUACACCUCAGUACACAAGAGAAGGCUGAAAAAUUCGCAAGAAGUCGCAGUGAGGGAUUAGAAAAAGAUCACUUGUCACCGUCCUACGAAUGAACCCUUCAAUCUCAAUACACUGAUGUCGACGCAAAGAAACUACGAAGAAAUUUAAUCCCUUCUUGUGGACUUUUCCAAAGCUAUUGGCUCAAAUUGAAAAGAUGGUUUAGACAUAAAUCAAUUAAUUAUGGUUUAAAUGGAAAUAUCUUCAAUGUCUUAGUAUGCACUCUGAAAUUAGCUAUUCUGUCAAAAAAAGAAGGGUGUGAUUGAAUCCAUCCCAUCAUACACAAGAGGAUAGCAAUGUGUGUGUAGUCCCACACAUCUUUAUAUGAAUCACCUCAAAGAUUAUCUAUCCUUCUGUGCCUUUUCAAAUCUUCAAUUAAAUGGUAAAGAUGUUGCCUACCUACUAUAUGCUGGUGAUCUUGUAUUGUUAUCACAUUCUACAAAAUGUCAAUAAACUAGUGUUGACAAUCCUUUAAUCUUCGGUGAUGACAGGA
This is a long non-coding RNA of Haliotis rufescens (red abalone), 707 nucleotides long. RefSeq lists it as uncharacterized. The record is from RefSeq and is a predicted model, not a curated record. NCBI's taxonomy places the organism in Eukaryota, Metazoa, Mollusca, Gastropoda, Lepetellida, Haliotidae. The transcript has 3 exons.